GCCCAAUGCUUUGGUAACGAAUUAUAUUGUUGCCAAAUCAAAUUUAACAUUCUUUUUGUAUACCUGACUUGCUCAAUGUUCCCAUAACAAAUAAUGACAAAAAUACAAAAAACUAAAAUAUUAUUAACUUAAUAAAAUCAUCCACUACAUAAUCAUUCAUUAUCUUUACAAGUAACCAUCUAAAGCUGCCAUAGUUCUUCAAUCAAAGUAUAUAUCUACAUAUAUAGAGAAAGUACACUUCAUAAUUUCGUCCCUUGUCUUCCGUAAACGUAGCAUGAAAAUUUGAUACUUAGUAUUGUAAGGCAGGUCGUAGAAGCAGACUUCUUGGACAUAUUUAAAAAUAAUAGUAAGUCAAAAAAAUGAAGCAAAUAGGUCAUCAGAUGCACUUAGUAUUUAUAGGUUGUAACCUUGCCCUGUGCCUUUUUGUUGUAAUUGCUAAGAUUUGAAAUUUCCCCAUUCUAAGCUAAUAACCUGAAAGUUAAAACAGUCGUUAAUCAUUAGUAAUUAGAUCUUAUUUCUUGUAUGAGAUAACUAGGAAUUAGUACUACUAUCAAAUUAUUGACCAUUUCUCCAGAUUCAAGGGAUGAACCAUGCCAUUUAGGAACUUCUUGAGGUGGUUCUAUGUAAGCAGCAUUGGUGGUCAUACCUAGAGUAAUUGCUGCUAUGCUCUCAUUGUUGUAGGAAACUAAUUCGGAACGAAACGUUAAAAGAAAAGCUACUGCUAUUGAAAAAGCAUCCCAAUGGCCAUAACGGGAAUGCAUUCUAACCUUGAAUGGGGCAUCCAUUCUACAAAAUAUAAUUAUGUGUUAGGUUGUUCUUGCCUUGAAUGUUAUUAAGGAUGAAAAAGUAGAAAGCAACAACUCUGUCUCUCCUUUUACUUUAAUUGGAGAAUAAAAAGCAAAUAAUUAGAGCUAAUUAAUAACAUAAGAACAUGAGGUAUUCAUUGUUUGAACCAUGAAUAGGUCCACACUUACCAUAACAAUGAAAUUUGUAAAGCAUAAGAACAACUUGCAUGUGACAUAGUAUGUAAUAAUAUAAGAAUAGUAGAGAAGGAAAAGAUUCUACUAGAACCACAUAAUUCUGGAACUCUAUACCAUAUUAGAGAAAAAAGAACCACAUAAUUCUGGAGCUCGAUACCAUCUUGUAUGUGAGACCCCCAAUUUUAUGAAUAUAAAGAUUUAAAUUUCUCGAAAUAUUUUUUUUGAAUAUUAUGGUGUGGAUUUGAUAUAAUGUUAUAGUUGUGGGUAAUAUUUAUAAAUUUUGCAAAGUAAGCAAGUUGUUAUAUAAUAGGGAAUAUUCGUACGACAGUACAAUCAUUGGUGGACCCCACAACGGAAGUAUUGUCGUAGUUAGAAAACGACAGAAUUAUCAUUUUAUAAAAAUAACGGCGAAAGUGUUACCGUUAAAACUGUUGAACUACCCGGUAGUAAAAGUACAAUAAUACACGUGGUUACAUAGUAGCACACGGUAUUGAUUAUUAAUGCUUACGUAAGAAGUCACUCAGUUAUACUCAAUUAUUGCUAUAGUAAUUGUUGCAUCAUAUUUCUCAUAUUAUUGAUUCAAUUAUUGUCACAGUAUCAUCUGCAUAAUAUGAUAUAUUAAUAAAUCAAUAAUUGAGACGGUAAAUUUAUUCAUAUUAUUAUUUGUAAUAUUGACAAUGUCUAGAAGUUCUGUCAAGAAAAGGUUUGGUCACCUAAUUGCGCGCCAAUAAGGAGAAAUCCUUAUUGGAAAGCCCCCUCUUUCUUGAAAACGACCUAGUUGUUAAAUAUUGUGAAUUAUAAUAUUAAUGAUGAAUAAGUUCGUGUUGAUUAAGGAUGAAAUUGAUAGUUCCAUUGUAUUGAAAUUAUUAGUGUUAGUGAAAAUCGACAUUUAUUUCGAUAAUAAUUGAUGUCUGGAGGUUAUAUUGACCAACCGGAUAAUUAAUCGAAUAAAUGAGCAAUUAAUUGCUAUUAAUUCACAUGAUUAUAACUAUUUGUUCACAUGUGUGUACUAUUGAUUCAUAUUCUUGUACUAUUAGGGGAGUUGGUGCAAGAUUGAUAAUACUUGCAUGACUAAGUUAAAAAUGGAGGUAUAGAUGGAGGUACUAUACUGUA
Molecule: long non-coding RNA, 2093 nt
Filed under: Panax ginseng (ginseng)
Lineage: Eukaryota; Viridiplantae; Streptophyta; Magnoliopsida; Apiales; Araliaceae
Description: long non-coding RNA (PGIN_LNC000683)
Source: RNAcentral